UGUGAUUGCCAGCUGCAGACAACAGCGCGCGCCCCAACAAAGCCAAAGAACGCUCCGCUGUGUUGUGACUGAGAUGAGGAUCGUUUAAACACGCUUCUGAUGGGAGUUCACGGAUGAUCCUGCUGACCUCGGCGGACCUGUGCGAUGUCUCUGGCCCAGCGGGUUCUUCUUCCUCCUCUUCCUCGCGCUGCUGGAGCUGAAGCUGAUGAAGGUCUGCUGGAGCUGGUUCCUGGUCUUCUGCUCAUCUGGGUGUAAGACAGCGAUCUGUUGCUGAUGCUGACCGGAGGCUGACCGUACGGCUGCUGGACCGGACUCGACCCGCGGCUGAAGAUCCUGAUAAACCGAGGACAGAAGCUGCUCUACACACAGAGGAUCCUCACAACAAAUGAUGAUUUCAUGUAGUUCAUUGAGAAAGAAAAUCUAUUUAUGACAUUAUUUUUGACAGCAUCCUCAUCUCACAGCAUUUUUACACAAGUGCCUCAAACCUUUAACUGCACUGGAGCUUUACAGAAGGUUUCUUGAAGCGUAAUUACUGUAUACUUACAAUUGAUGGCUAAAUGAAUGUUUGGAAAUAUGAACUGAUAAUUCCUGCUGACACACUACAGCAAAAAAUAGAAAUAACUAUAAGAUAUAAUAAUAAUAAUAAUAAGAUAGACUUCAAACCAGUUUCUAACGGCUGGAAAUAACCUGCGUUCUGAUGAUUUAGGCCAGCGCUGUGUGAAGAUGUUUGUACAUGAACACUCCUCCGUGUUUCUACAGAGAGCAAACAAUCCACUGUUUCUGCUCCCUCUCUCUCUCUCUCUCUCUCUCUCUCUCUCUUUUUAAGAAAUUUGACUCUUAAAUGAAUUUUGCACAUUUGAGUUUCAGUGAUAUGAGGUUUUAUGUUGUGAUGGAGUUGAAGCUCUCACUGCCAGCAGAUGUAUUUUCUGUAGCUGAAGGUACAGACAAUCACAAUAGUGUAUACUGUAUCUCUGAGCACAGACUCCUGAUACAGCCGUGACCGGAUCUUCAGCAUGACCUGAUGAAGAUGUUACUAAAUCUCAGAUUAGGAUGAUGUUAUCUAAUCAUUGGUAAAAAACUACAUCCUCUGAAGAUUACUUCUCAUUGUGCUGUCACCGUACACAGAUUUACAGGCAGUAAAAUGAUAUGAUAUAAUGAUUUGGAUCUGAAUCUAAA
Long non-coding RNA from Carassius gibelio (silver crucian carp), 1176 nucleotides. RefSeq lists it as uncharacterized. NCBI's taxonomy places the organism in Eukaryota, Metazoa, Chordata, Actinopteri, Cypriniformes, Cyprinidae. The transcript has 2 exons. The record is from RefSeq and is a predicted model, not a curated record.